GGGUGUGCGUCGCGCUCCUGGCACGCACAGGUUCCUCGGUGGUCGGGCCGCCACCU
RNAcentral lists this non-coding RNA (56 nucleotides) under Myxococcus fulvus. RNAcentral describes it as "Li+-I sequence". It matches the Rfam family "nhaA-I RNA". Rfam says of the family: Acidobacteria, Alphaproteobacteria, Betaproteobacteria and Gammaproteobacteria, Verrucomicrobia, cand. division NC10. Downstream gene Lineage: Bacteria; Pseudomonadati; Myxococcota; Myxococcia; Myxococcales; Myxococcaceae. The record is from RNAcentral. RNAcentral also lists the same sequence under 2 other names.